UAGAAUAAUGUAGGUAAGGGAAGUUGGCAAAAUUGAUCUGUAGGAUUGGAUCCAGUGGGUCGAUUAGUCUAUUAGGUGAUGUUUGUGCGGAUUUAUCCAUGCCCAAUAUCAAAGCGUUAUGUACAUGCGAUGAUGAGGAACUACUAAUAAGUCAUCUUGCGGACGUUUAUAGGUGUUUGCUUUGUUUUCGAAUUAAGUAUCCUGAUCGACCAUUAUAACGGUAGAACUGGAACUGGUAAGAGCUAGGGCUCUACUGGAUCCAACUGUUUAAUUAAAACAGAGGAGACAGAUGGUUCUCGCAACGCUUACUGUCUCUGAUUUCUACCCAGUGUUCUGAAUGAUAAAUCGUAGUAAUUCGAGUAAGCUCGGGUAAACGGCGGAAGUAACUAUAGCUCCCUUAAGGUAGCCAAACGCCUCUUCAGCUGACUACUGACGCGCUGAAUUGUUAACUAGAUUCCCACUAUCUCUAAGUACUAUCUAGUGAAACCAUAGCCAAGAGAACGGGCUUGG
Molecule: non-coding RNA, 510 nt
Filed under: Dictyocaulus viviparus (bovine lungworm)
Lineage: Eukaryota; Metazoa; Nematoda; Chromadorea; Rhabditida; Metastrongylidae
Description: Eukaryotic large subunit ribosomal RNA
Rfam family: Eukaryotic large subunit ribosomal RNA
Source: Rfam by way of RNAcentral